Molecule: ribosomal RNA, 119 nt
Filed under: Betta splendens (Siamese fighting fish)
Lineage: Eukaryota; Metazoa; Chordata; Actinopteri; Anabantiformes; Osphronemidae
Source: RNAcentral
GCUUACGGCCUUACCACCCUGAGCACGCCCCAUCUCGUCUGAUCUCGGAAGCUAAGCAGUGUCGGGCCUGGUUAGUACUUGGAUGGGAGACCGCCUAGGAAUACCAGGUGCUGUCAGCU